This 72-nucleotide transfer RNA is filed under the name Clostridia bacterium. RNAcentral describes it as "tRNA-Glu". It matches the Rfam family "tRNA". Rfam says of the family: Transfer RNA (tRNA) molecules are approximately 80 nucleotides in length. Their secondary structure includes four short double-helical elements and three loops (D, anti-codon, and T loops). Lineage: Bacteria; Bacillati; Bacillota; Clostridia. The record is from RNAcentral.
GCUCGAUUCGUCUAUCGGUUAGGACGCAAGAUUUUCGAUCUUGAAAGAUGAGUUCGAUUCUCAUAUCGAGUA